RNAcentral lists this transfer RNA (77 nucleotides) under Candidatus Psychracetigena formicireducens. RNAcentral's name for it is "tRNA-Cys". It matches the Rfam family "tRNA". From Rfam's summary of the family: Transfer RNA (tRNA) molecules are approximately 80 nucleotides in length. Their secondary structure includes four short double-helical elements and three loops (D, anti-codon, and T loops). The record is from RNAcentral. Lineage: Bacteria; Bacillati; Candidatus Lithacetigenota.
GGCGAGGUAGCCAAGUGGCCUAAGGCGGCGGUCUGCAAAAUCGCUAUCCGCCGGUUCAAAUCCGGCCCUCGCCUCCA